GGUGGCUCAGUGGUAAGAGCGCUUGUCUUGCAUGCCUGAGUCCCUGGGUUCGAUUCCCAGCACCA
Molecule: transfer RNA, 65 nt
Filed under: Dipodomys ordii (Ord's kangaroo rat)
Lineage: Eukaryota; Metazoa; Chordata; Mammalia; Rodentia; Heteromyidae
Rfam family: tRNA
About the family: Transfer RNA (tRNA) molecules are approximately 80 nucleotides in length.
Source: Rfam by way of RNAcentral